This 163-nucleotide ribosomal RNA is filed under the name Polygala illepida. RNAcentral describes it as "5.8S ribosomal RNA". It matches the Rfam family "5.8S ribosomal RNA". Rfam says of the family: 5.8S ribosomal RNA (5.8S rRNA) is a component of the large subunit of the eukaryotic ribosome. It is transcribed by RNA polymerase I as part of the 45S precursor that also contains 18S and 28S rRNA. Functionally, it is thought that 5.8S rRNA may be involved in ribosome translocation. Lineage: Eukaryota; Viridiplantae; Streptophyta; Magnoliopsida; Fabales; Polygalaceae. The record is from RNAcentral.
UAACGACUCUCGGCAACGGAUAUCUCGGCUCUCGCAUCGAUGAAGAACGUAGCGAAAUGCGAUACUUGGUGUGAAUUGCAGAAUCCCGUGAACCAUCGAGUCUUUGAACGCAAGUUGCGCCCGAUGCCUUCUGGCCGAGGGCACGUCUGCCUGGGUGUCACGC